CUGGAUGGUGGGAUUUUAUUUUUGUCUUCAUCUUUAGUGCAACAGUAGCAGUACAUGAGGCCACACUCACUGGUGAACAAGUCAAGCAAUAGUCAUUUCUCCAGCCUUAUCUAAGACAUAGGUAACACCUGGGGUUAGACACUAAUGCAGCCAGAACUCACCACCAGGUUCAAGCAGAAAAGAUUACCAAAAAGAUGUCUGCAUCUCAGCCUCUAAUCAAUCCAUUUUCUCUUUUGCCUGCAUCUCUUUGGUGCUGCUAUUGCCUUUCUGAACACUAACAGAGGGACUUGACACACUGAUUGCAAUAGUUAUGCUCAAAACUGUAUGAGCAACCCUAAGUCUGGCUUCUUUUCUCCUGUUCCAGGUUGCAAUGAUGUCUGGCCUUUCUCUGACAGACUGCAGGAAGAGGGAACAAGAUGGGUGGAAAAGCAGUGGAGAAUGUGGCCAAGAUGUGUUUAGAGGGGCUCCCCAAAUUCUGCUGUGUAAAGUACAUUCAGGGUGCCCAAAGCUGUCCAUCUUUAGAGAUUACUCAUGUGUGACAUCUCAGGGGUAGCUUUUACCCUUGCUGGAUCAGUGCAGUCCUUUCCCAUGAGCCCAGCCCAGUCCCUUGCCCCAGCACACGAGGCUGCCCCUCAUGCUGGCCACGCGUGAGCUCCACGGGAACCAGGCAGGAGUGUCUGGGCUCAGCGCUGGCAGCUGUGGUGACAAGCAAAUGAAGUGUUGGCAGACAAAUGCUGGAGCUCUGUCUCUUGAAAAAUUCCAGUAAGAAGGGUCUCCCAGGGAUGUGCUGCAGCAUCACUCACCGGCUGUUUUCCUUUGCCAAAGGCACUCCAGAUUCGAAGGGCUCAGUCCUCAGGAUGCCAGUGAAUAAAUGGCUGAUGGUUAUCUCCCCCUGUUGGCUGAAGGUCAACUUCGGUGUGUCAGGGAUUAGGAGAAUCUCCAGGCUGCCAGAAAGCUCUUACCAAAAGCAGGCAUCUUCUAGAUCAUCUGACGGAAUCUCAUGCAUUAUCUAAACGGGAAGAGGAACUUGAAACAAACUUUCCCAUGUCUCUUGUAAUACUGUUGAGUGCCAAAAAAUUACUGGGAUGUUUUCUACAAGUACUUUUUCUGUAGAAAAUUCUACUCUAAACCUACUGAGUUUUCAUAGUUAAUCUUCCAUGACUGAUAGGAGAAGUUUGGG
RNAcentral lists this long non-coding RNA (1180 nucleotides) under Parus major (Great Tit). Its description in RNAcentral is "lncRNA (ENSPMJG00000008477.1)". The record is from RNAcentral. Lineage: Eukaryota; Metazoa; Chordata; Aves; Passeriformes; Paridae.